AGCUCUUAGUUCUUCCCCAGGUCUCCUGUGUCUCUCUGUCCUUUCAUUUCCACCUCACUCCUACCUCCCAAGCCUGACAGAAUGCAGCUGGCUACACUGGGCUUCACGGCCCGGAGGCAGGAACCCUUCCUUCUAGGGGUAGGUUGACUUGUCUUUGAUGUAAUAGUGGGAUUGCCUGCCUGGUCUUUCCCACAGUCCCCUGAAGUCAUCUUCUGUGUACUUUAGUUGACGUAUUUUUGUUAUAAGUUGAUGUGUUUGGUAUGUUUGAAUGAUUAAUGUCCCUUUUUUUUUUGCACCAACCUGCUUUUUUCUUGUUUUGUCUACACAGGUGUUUUUAUUUACAGAUUCACAGCAUACGCAUGUGUGUGUAUUGGGUAUGUCUACGUAUAUGUGGAUGUUCGUGUGUGUUGACAUGUGGAAGUUUUUUUAGCCUUUAGUUUUUUCUCUUCAGACUAAGUUUGUGUCUACCAAGCCUUCUUUUGGGUAUUUUCGAGCUAAUUAGGUUUGUGCUUCCCCCACCAUGUAUACUUUACAUCAGUAGAUCAUGUAAAGUAUGUCUGUGCCCAUGAUGUCACUGGUUGCUUACCGCUGGUUGUGAGUUCUAGGUAUUGUUUCAGUCCAUAUUUUUUUUUUUCCUCUCUCUCUCCUAUAGUUCUAUGGUUUCAUGUAAGCAGUUAAUGUAAAUAUUGUUAGCAUUACAAGUCAUGCAGUGCUGUAACAUUUCUUUUUAAAUGUUGCACCUACUUUACAAUUAAAAAA
Molecule: long non-coding RNA, 759 nt
Filed under: Bos taurus (domestic cattle)
Lineage: Eukaryota; Metazoa; Chordata; Mammalia; Artiodactyla; Bovidae
Description: long non-coding RNA NONBTAT011110
Source: RNAcentral